RNAcentral lists this ribosomal RNA (497 nucleotides) under uncultured bacterium. RNAcentral describes it as "partial 16S ribosomal RNA". It matches the Rfam family "Bacterial small subunit ribosomal RNA", at positions 28 to 507 of the family's 1533-position model. The record is from RNAcentral.
GACGAACGCUGGCGGCGUGCCUAAUACAUGCAAGUUGAGCGCUGAAGGUUGGUACUUGUACCAACUGGAUGAGCAGCGAACGGGUGAGUAACGCGUGGGGAAUCUGCCUUUGAGCGGGGGACAACAUUUGGAAACGAAUGCUAAUACCGCAUAAAAACUUUAAACACAAGUUUUAAGUUUGAAAGAUGCAAUUGCAUCACUCAAAGAUGAUCCCGCGUUGUAUUAGCUAGUUGGUGAGGUAAAGGCUCACCAAGGCGAUGAUACAUAGCCGACCUGAGAGGGUGAUCGGCCACAGUGGGACUGAGACACGGCCCAAACUCCUACGGGAGGCAGCAGUAGGGAAUCUUCGGCAAUGGACGAAAGUCUGACCGAGCAACGCCGCGUGAGUGAAGAAGGUUUUCGGAUCGUAAAACUCUGUUGGUAGAGAAGAACGUUAGUGAGAGUGGAAAGCUCAUCAAGUGACGGUAACUACCCAGAAAGGGACGGCUAACUACGUG